AUACGUAGGGGACGAGCGUUAUCCGGAUUUAUUGGGUUUAAAGGGUGCGCAGGCGGCCAUUUAAGUCAGCGGUUAAAUCGUGGGGCUCAACCCCAUUCUGCCGUUGAUACUGGGUGGCUUGAUUGCGGUCGAGGUUGGCGGAAUUCGUUGUGUAGCGGUGAAAUGCAUAGAUAUGACGAAGAACACCGAUUGCGUAGGCAGCUGACCAGACCGCAAAUGACGCUCAUGCACGAAAGUGCGGGGAUCGAACAGGAUUAGAUACCCUGGUAGUCCGCACAGUAAACGAUGAAUACUUGUUUUCGGCGAUAUAAUGUCGGAGGCAAAGCGAAAGCGAUAAGUAUUCCACCUGGGGAGUACGCCGGCAACGGUGAAACUUAAAGGAAUUGACGGGG
Molecule: ribosomal RNA, 392 nt
Filed under: uncultured bacterium
Lineage: Bacteria
Description: partial 16S ribosomal RNA
Rfam family: Bacterial small subunit ribosomal RNA
Source: RNAcentral